Molecule: ribosomal RNA, 175 nt
Filed under: uncultured Isosphaera sp.
Lineage: Bacteria; Pseudomonadati; Planctomycetota; Planctomycetia; Isosphaerales; Isosphaeraceae
Description: partial 16S ribosomal RNA
Rfam family: Bacterial small subunit ribosomal RNA
Source: RNAcentral
UCCUACGGGAGGCAGCAGUCGAGAAUCUUCGGCAAUGGGCGCAAGCCUGACCGAGCGACGCCGCGUGGAGGAUGAAGGCCUUCGGGUUGUAAACUCCUGUCGAGGGGGAGGAAGGCGCAAGCUUGACCUAUCCCUGGAGGAAGCACGGGCUAAGUUCGUGCCAGCAGCCGCGGUA